UAGAUACCCUGGUAGUCCACGCCGUAAACGAUGUCUACUAGCCGUCGGGGUCCUUAGUGACUUUGGUGGCGCAGCUAACGCGAUAAGUAGACCGCCUGGGGAGUACGGCCGCAAGGUUAAAACUCAAAUGAAUUGACGGGGGCCCGCACAAGCGGUGGAGCAUGUGGUUUAAUUCGAUGCAACGCGAAGAACCUUACCAGCUUGACAUCCUCGGAAGUUUCCAGAGAUGGAUUCGUGCCUUCGGGAGCCG
This 250-nucleotide ribosomal RNA is filed under the name uncultured bacterium. RNAcentral's name for it is "partial 16S ribosomal RNA". It matches the Rfam family "Bacterial small subunit ribosomal RNA", at positions 779 to 1029 of the family's 1533-position model. The record is from RNAcentral.